AAGCGGUGGAUGAUGUGGUUUAAUUCGAUGCAACGCGAAAACCUUACCCACCUUUGACAUGGCAGGAAUCCUGAAGAGAUUUGGGAGUGCUCGAAAGAGAACCUGCACACAGGUGCUGCAUGGCUGUCGUCAGCUCGUGUCGUGAGAUGUUGGGUUAAGUCCCGCAACGAGCGCAACCCUUGCCAUUAGUUGCUACAUUCAGUUGGGCACUCUAAUGAGACUGCCGUGACAAACCGGAGGAAGUGGGGAUGACGUCAAGUCCUCAUGGCCCUUAUAGGUGGGGCUACACACGUCAUACAAUGGAUGGUACAAAGGGUCGCCAACCCGCGAGGGGGAGCCAAUCCCAUAAAGCCAUUCGUAGUCCGGAUCGCAGUCUGCAACUCGACUGCGUGAAGUCGGAAUCGCUAGUAAUCGUGGAUCAGAAUGUCACGGUGAAUACGUUCCCGGGCCUU
This 452-nucleotide ribosomal RNA is filed under the name uncultured Acidovorax sp. RNAcentral's name for it is "bacterial SSU rRNA". It matches the Rfam family "Bacterial small subunit ribosomal RNA", at positions 927 to 1382 of the family's 1533-position model. The record is from RNAcentral. Lineage: Bacteria; Pseudomonadati; Pseudomonadota; Betaproteobacteria; Burkholderiales; Comamonadaceae.